This 274-nucleotide non-coding RNA is filed under the name Pan troglodytes (chimpanzee). Lineage: Eukaryota; Metazoa; Chordata; Mammalia; Primates; Hominidae. The record is from RNAcentral.
GUCUGGGAUGUGAGGAGUGCCUCUGCCCGGCCGCGACCCCGUCUGGGAGGUGAGGAGCGUCUCUGCCCGGCCACCCCAUCUGAGAAGUGAGGAGCCCCUCUGCCCGGCAGCCGCCCUGAGGAGUGAGGAGCCCCUCCGCCUGGCAGCCGCCCCGUCUGAGAAGUGAGGAGCCCCUCCACCCGGCAGUUGCCCUGUCUGGCCAUAGACUCUCCAACUCCUGCAACUGUCUGGAAUUUCUUCUCUCUCCAAUCCAUCUCUAGUAUUGAUGACAUAG